UCCGUAGGUGAACCUGCGGAAGGAUCAUUAUCAAUUUUACAGUCCUGGGAUGGGGGUAAAAACUCCAUCCCAUGCUGUUCAACCCUUUGUCUUUUGCGUACUGUAUGUUUCCUCGGCGGGUUCGCCCGCCGAUAGGACACUUCAAAACCUUUUGUAAUUGCAAUCAGCGUCAGAAAAACUAUAAUAGUUACAACUUUCAACAACGGAUCUCUUGGUUCUGGCAUCGAUGAAGAACGCAGCGAAAUGCGAAAAGUAGUGUGAAUUGCAGAAUUCAGUGAAUCAUCGAAUCUUUGAACGCACAUUGCGCCCCUUGGUAUUCCAUGGGGCAUGCCUGUUCGAGCGUCAUUUGUACCCUCAAGCUCUGCUUGGUGUUGGGUGUUUGUCCCGCCUUCGCGCGUGGACUCGCCUUAAAGUGAUUGGCAGCCGGAAUAAUUCUGGGGAACGCAGCACAACUGCAGCCUCCAUUUUACGCCGAGCGUCCAGUAAGCCUUUUUUCAACGUUUGACCUCGGAUCAGGUAGGGAUACCCGCUGAACUUAAGCAUAUCAAUAAGCGGAGGAAACGGGCAUUACGCAGAAAGAACGUUUGGACAGGCCACGCAAGUCCAGAACGUUAAAAGGCCGGUC
Molecule: ribosomal RNA, 625 nt
Filed under: uncultured Ascomycota
Lineage: Eukaryota; Fungi; Ascomycota
Description: eukaryotic LSU rRNA
Rfam family: 5.8S ribosomal RNA (bases 192-345)
Source: RNAcentral